AGGUGUAUAGUUUAACCAAAACAAAUGAUUUCGACUCAUUAGACUAUGAUAACUCAUAUACACCAA
Saimiri boliviensis boliviensis (Bolivian squirrel monkey) is the source of this 66-nucleotide non-coding RNA. The record is from Ensembl. Lineage: Eukaryota; Metazoa; Chordata; Mammalia; Primates; Cebidae.